Molecule: ribosomal RNA, 460 nt
Filed under: uncultured bacterium
Lineage: Bacteria
Description: partial 16S ribosomal RNA
Rfam family: Bacterial small subunit ribosomal RNA
Source: RNAcentral
CCUACGGGUGGCAGCAGUGAGGAAUAUUGGUCAAUGGGCGAGAGCCUGAACCAGCCAAGUCGCGUGAAGGAUGACGGCUCUACGGGUUGUAAACCUCUUUUAUGUGGGGAUAAAGGGGUCCACGUGUGGAUGUUUGCAGGUACCGCAUGAAUAAGGAUCGGCUAAUUCCGUGCCAGCAGCCGCGGUAAUACGGAGGGUCCGAGCGUUAUCCGGAUUUAUUGGGUUUAAAGGGAGCGUAGAUGGGUUAGUAAGUCAGUGGUGAAAGUUUGUGGCUCAACCGUAAAAUUGCAGUUGAUACUGGCAGUCUUGAGUACAGUUGAGGUAGGCGGAAUGCGUGGUGUAGCGGUGAAAUGCUUAGAUAUCACGAAGAACUCCGAUUGCGAAGGCAGCUUACUAAACUGCCACUGACAUUGAUGCUCGAAAGUGUGGGUAUCAAACAGGAUUAGAUACCCUGGUAGUC